Molecule: ribosomal RNA, 256 nt
Filed under: uncultured bacterium
Lineage: Bacteria
Description: partial 16S ribosomal RNA
Rfam family: Bacterial small subunit ribosomal RNA
Source: RNAcentral
CACGUAGGGGGCAAGCGUUGUCCGGAUUUAUUGGGCGUAAAGAGCUCGUAGGCUGUUCGAUAAGUCGGGUGUGAAACCUCCAGGCUCAACCUGGAGACGCCACCCGAUACUGUCAUGACUAGAGUCCGGUAGGGGAGCGUGGAAUUCCCGGUGUAGUGGUGAAAUGCGUAGAUAUCGGGAGGAACACCAGUGGCGAAGGCGGCUUCCUGGCCUGGUUCUUGACGCUGAGGCGCGAAAGCUAGGGGAGCAAACGGGG